UCCCACAUUGAAAAGAGACAAAAUUAUCAAUACAUUAUAAGCCAUUUAUAACCCUAUCUUCUUAUAUGGGGAUGUGCAUUUUAUACUUCACACAUGCACGUCGGCUCGAUCCAGCUCGACUCACACACACGAGAUGAUAUAUAUUUCAUUAUUUUAUUUUUUAUUAUAUUUUAUUUUAUCUUUUAUUUUAUCAUAGUUUAUAUUUUUUAACUAUUUCUUUGUUGACCGAUCACUUUCCUUUGUGGUC
Molecule: long non-coding RNA, 247 nt
Filed under: Elaeis guineensis (African oil palm)
Lineage: Eukaryota; Viridiplantae; Streptophyta; Magnoliopsida; Arecales; Arecaceae
Description: long non-coding RNA (EGUI_LNC051721)
Source: RNAcentral